UAGGGAAUCUUCCACAAUGGACGCAAGUCUGAUGGAGCAACGGCCGCGUGAGUGAAGAAGGUUUUCGGACCGUAAAGCUCUGUUGUUGGUGAAGAAGGAUAGAGGUAGUAACUGGCCUUUUAUUUGACGGUAAUCAACCAGAAAGUCACGGCUAACUACGUGCCAGCAGCCGCGGUAAUACGUAGGUGGCAAGCGUUGUCCGGAUUUAUUGGGCGUAAAGCGAGCGCAGGCGGAAGAAUAAGUCUGAUGUGAAAGCCCUCGGCUUAACCGAGGAAUUGCAUCGGAAACUGUUUUCUUGAGUGCAGAAGAGGAGAGUAGAACUCCAUGUGUAGCGGUGGAAUGCGUAGAUAUAUGGAAGAAUACCAGUGGCGAAGGCGGCUCUCUGGUCUGCAACUGACGCUGAGGCUCGAAAGCAUGGGUAGCGAACAGGAUUAGAUACCCUGGUAGUCCAUGCCGUAAACGAUGAGUGCUAAGUGUUGGGAGGCUUCCGCCUCUCAGUGCUGCAGCUAACGCAUUAAGCACUCCGCCUGGGGGAGUACGACCGCAAGGUUGAAAC
Molecule: ribosomal RNA, 556 nt
Filed under: uncultured bacterium
Lineage: Bacteria
Description: partial 16S ribosomal RNA
Rfam family: Bacterial small subunit ribosomal RNA
Source: RNAcentral